AGUGAACGCUGGCGGUAGGCCUAACACAUGCAAGUCGAACGGCAGCACAGUAAGAGCUUGCUCUUACGGGUGGCGAGUGGCGGACGGGUGAGGAAUACAUCGGAAUCUACUUUUUCGUGGGGGGUAACGUAGGGAAACUUACGCUAAUACCGCAUACGACCUACGGGUGAAAGCAGAGGAUCUUCGGCCCUUGCGCGAUUGAAUGAGCCGAUGUCGGAUUAGCUAGUUGGCGGGGUAAAGGCCCACCAAGGCGACGAUCCGUAGCUGGUCUGAGAGGAUGAUCAGCCACACUGGAACUGAGACACGGUCCAGACUCCUACGGGAGGCAGCAGUGGGGAAUAUUGGACAAAGGGCGCAAGCCUGAUCCAGCCAUACCGCGUGGGUGAAGAAGGCCUUCGGGUUGUAAAGCCCUUUUGUUGGGAAAGAAAAGCAGCAGGUUAAUACCCCGCUGUUCUGACGGUACCCAAAGAAUAAGCACCGGCUAACUUCGUG
Molecule: ribosomal RNA, 492 nt
Filed under: uncultured bacterium
Lineage: Bacteria
Description: partial 16S ribosomal RNA
Rfam family: Bacterial small subunit ribosomal RNA
Source: RNAcentral